UGCCAGCCGCCGCGGUAAUACAGAGAGUGCAAGCGUUAAUCGGAUUUACUGGGCGUAAAGCGCGCGUAGGCGGAUUUUUAAGUCGGAUGUGAAAGCCCUGGGCUCAACCUGGGAACUGCAUACGAUACUGGAAAUCUAGAGUAUGGUAGAGGGAAGUGGAAUUUCCGGUGUAGCGGUGAAAUGCGUAGAUAUCGGAAGGAACAUCAGUGGCGAAGGCGACUUCCUGGACCAAUACUGACGCUCAGGCGCGAAAGCGUGGGUAGCAAACAGGAUUAGAUA
This 279-nucleotide ribosomal RNA is filed under the name uncultured bacterium. Its description in RNAcentral is "partial 16S ribosomal RNA". It matches the Rfam family "Bacterial small subunit ribosomal RNA", at positions 506 to 784 of the family's 1533-position model. The record is from RNAcentral.